Long non-coding RNA from Phacochoerus africanus (Common warthog), 777 nucleotides. RefSeq lists it as uncharacterized. Lineage: Eukaryota; Metazoa; Chordata; Mammalia; Artiodactyla; Suidae. The transcript is spliced from 3 exons. The record is from RefSeq and is a predicted model, not a curated record.
CACGGCGGCCCCUGUAGCAUAGCUGGACCCGCACAGACUGACGAUCCCCUCACCUGGCUCUUGUCUCCAAUCACCGUUCCCCACGCUGCCCGCGCCUCAGCUUUAUCUGGUAAAGACACAGAGCCCGCACCUGUUCUCCUGCGUCCCCGCCUGGCUGCCUCCUAAACAAGCCCUUUUUCUGCUGCACACCUUGGCGUCCCGACUGUUCGCUCCCUGUGCAUGGGGCAAGCGAACCUGGUUUGGCAGCAGGAAGGCCAUGCCCAGGGGUGCGGCAGGACAGAGAAGGGGGAAGAUGUCUGCUGGUGGCCAAAGUGGCAACUCUGCACCAGAGGCCGGAGGGGACGGCGCUGGCUACCUUCCGGGGCCAGUCCUGGCUGCACUAACAGUCGUCGCGCGCUUUUGUUGCAGAAACCGUGGCCCUGGAAGGAGACGAACGGCACCCGGAGAUGUGGAAAAGCAAGGCUUUCUUCAAUCAUCCCAGGCAAGGUAUUUCAAGCAUGUGGGCUGAGAGGUGCCCACGGGCUCAGAGGCCAGCUCUACUUGGCGACCUUCAGUCCCGAGAGCCUCCGUUUCUUCACCUGCGCAGUGGAGGCGAGAGUCGUGAUCUUCGCGGCUGGGCUGGGUGGAGGCUGAAGUGAGCCACUCACUCCUGCUCAGACUGAAGACGAGAACCUGGGGGACGGUCAGGGCUCAGUCACAAAAUGGAUCAAUGACUCGAAAGAGGUUCUUCGAAAUGCAGAGCAAUGAUGGCAGCAUAAGCUCUCAGAACACGGUAAG